This 465-nucleotide ribosomal RNA is filed under the name Vreelandella stevensii. RNAcentral describes it as "partial 16S ribosomal RNA". It matches the Rfam family "Bacterial small subunit ribosomal RNA", at positions 338 to 795 of the family's 1533-position model. Lineage: Bacteria; Pseudomonadati; Pseudomonadota; Gammaproteobacteria; Oceanospirillales; Halomonadaceae. The record is from RNAcentral.
CCUAGGGGAGGCAGCAGUGGGGAAUAUUGGACAAUGGGCGAAAGCCUGAUCCAGCCAUGCCGCGUGUGUGAAGAAGGCCUUCGGGUUGUAAAGCACUUUCAGUGGGGAAGAAAGCCUUGGGGCUAAUACCCUCGAGGAAGGACAUCACCCACAGAAGAAGCACCGGCUAACUCCGUGCCAGCAGCCGCGGUAAUACGGAGGGUGCGAGCGUUAAUCGGAAUUACUGGGCGUAAAGCGCGCGCAGGCGGUCUGAUAAGCCGGUUGUGAAAGCCCCGGGCUCAACCUGGGAACGGCAUCCGGAACUGUCAGGCUAGAGUGCAGGAGAGGAAGGUAGAAUUCCCGGUGUAGCGGUGAAAUGCGUAGAGAUCGGGAGGAAUACCAGUGGCGAAGGCGGCCUUCUGGACUGACACUGACGCUGAGGUGCGAAAGCGUGGGUAGCAAACAGGAUUAGAUACCCCGGUAGUC